UCUAGAAGCCAGAUCUGGCUAAAAGCCCGGCUGUUUCUGAAUCCCGCAGUCAACCAAACAAAGGGUCCAGGGGUGGGGAGGGGGAAGUGAAGGAUGGAGAAUCCACGGCCACUGAGGAGCCACUAGGCUUGAUACGAUAUAGGCGAAUGGGCGUGGGCGUGGCAGCCCCAGCCUCUCCCAGACCGCAGAGGGCCCCGGCGACAGGCUCUGGCUGGCUUCGUUCUUUUUCUUUCGACUCAACAAGAUGAAGUGUCUUUGCGAGCACGAACUUUCGCAAGCUCCUAGAGGCGCUUCUUACUCACACAAAGCCGUGGACGAGAAUAACAGCAGGAGCAAGGCCGCUGAAAGAACCUCAGCGGAACAAGAAGCCAAAAGACCCAUCGCAACAGCUGGCGGGAGUUGGAGAAACACUCCGGGAGUCUAAAAGCAGAAAAGGGCGGCACUCCCAAAUACUACCGGAAGACGAAAAAUACACAGCCACCGCUUUUCUGGUAAA
Long non-coding RNA from Crotalus tigris (Tiger rattlesnake), 496 nucleotides. RefSeq lists it as uncharacterized. Lineage: Eukaryota; Metazoa; Chordata; Lepidosauria; Squamata; Viperidae. The transcript has 2 exons. The record is from RefSeq and is a predicted model, not a curated record.